GACGAACGCUGGCGGCGUGCUUAACACAUGCAAGUCGAACGGUGACGGAGAGCUUGCUCUCCUGAUCAGUGGCGAACGGGUGAGUAACACGUGGGCAACCAGCCCCAGACUUCGGGAUAACGCUUCGAAAGAGGUGCUAAUACCGGAUACGAGCUCCUUGGGCAUCCUUGGAGUUGGAAAGUUUUUCGGUCUGGGAUGGGCCCGCGGCCUAUCAGCUAGUUGGUGAGGUAACCGGCUCACCAAGGCGACGACGGGUAGCCGGCCUGAGAGGGCGACCGGCCACACUGGGACUGAGACACGGCCCAGACUCCUACGGAGGCAGCAGUGGGGAAUAUUGCGCAAUGGGCGAAAGCCUGACGCAGCAACGCCGCGUGAGGGAUGACGGCCUUC
Molecule: ribosomal RNA, 390 nt
Filed under: uncultured bacterium
Lineage: Bacteria
Description: bacterial SSU rRNA
Rfam family: Bacterial small subunit ribosomal RNA
Source: RNAcentral